Molecule: long non-coding RNA, 716 nt
Filed under: Nicotiana benthamiana
Lineage: Eukaryota; Viridiplantae; Streptophyta; Magnoliopsida; Solanales; Solanaceae
Description: long non-coding RNA (NBEN_LNC028656)
Source: RNAcentral
UGAGAGAGAGAUAUAUAUACACAUCUAUUUCUCACACCUGCACACACUACACACAAAAUUAAAUUCUUCAAAAUACUUAAAUUUUCGUUAGGGUAAUCUUUAUUUUUAUUUUCUUCCCCCUUCUCUAUCAUCCCGUUUCUUUAAUCCCUUUCUGUAAGCAGUCUGUCUUUCAAGAAGUUUUUAUGGGUUUGUGUUUUUGAGGUUUUUGAAUUUGUAAAAAAUUGGAAAAAAUGCAAACUUAAAUGAAUUUUUCUUAAAAGCUAGGUGUUUUCAGAAACGAGAUUCAAGAAUUUCAGUAAAUUUGUAGAGUUCAUUACUCAUUUUUUUGUUUUUUCUAUUUUCAGCUUUAGAGGGCUUAUUAGUUGUCCCUUCUAAGGUUUAUUUUUUGUUACCACAAGAUAAAAGGGGUUGUUAUUUGAAAACCUCUUUGUAUCCACUUAUCUUUUUGUAUUUUCACUAUUUGUUGGUUUAUUAUUUCUUGGUAAUCAAUCACCUUUUCUUUUAUUUGAUAAGAAACAGGUUGAUCUUUUAAUUCUUUUUUUUCUUAAAUUUGUGUGAAUUUUAGGUAUGGCAGCUACAAUGGAUUUUUGGACUAGUACACUUUUAGAUCUUAACUCAUCAAACUCUUUGCAGGGUGGUGGUGAGCUGAUGGAAGCACUUGCACCUUUUAUCAAAAGUGCUUCUCCUAUCAAUUAUCCUCCUAUUUCACCUUCUUU